AUUCAUCUUAUCCUGAUAAACCAGAGAUACAUAGAAAAAAUAACCAAAAUAUGAUUCCCAGAGAUUAAGGAAGGGAUUGAUUUUAUAAUCCUUGAUUUAUAAACUGCCAACUAUUUAUAUCACAGUUGCUGAAAAAUUAGUAAGUAGUUGUGAAAGGAUUUUCUGUCACCACCGUUGGAGGGCCUACAGAUGAGGAUGUAAUCAAAACAUGAGGACCUGAUCCCUAAAGAAAAAGAUGUUUUGUCUGUGUAAAUUGGACCUAGGAUCUGUCUUCGUCAUUAAUGCUAGGCAGAUGGUGACACCCUAGGAAAUAAGACCCUUGAACCAUAUGUGUCAAGGUACCUUUAAACACAGUAAAACCCAUCAUUACUUACUCCAUGUGCCAUACUUCUAUAUUACUGGCUGACACGUUCCAUUAUGGCUAAUGAAUUUACUCUCUACAGAUGUAGUGUUUGUGCCUUUGUUGAACCAGAUGUUCCUGAACCAGAGGUCAUUUGUUGGAAUUGGGGUAUCACUCUGUUUUUGAGCUGCAGUUUAAUAAAUCAGCUCUGCUGAAGUCUUAGACACUAGGAAAUUGAAUAAACUGUUUUUGAUGUUAGAGGAAAAGGAAAUCUCUGCUAGUUGUUCUACUUAUUGUGUUUUUCCAUCAAACAAGCCAUGUAUCAUGAAUUAUGUCACUUUAAGAGUUGCUCUGAUACCUUUGUAAUGGAGAAAAAGGUAAAUCAGAGUCUAUGGCAACAUUAUUUCUCUGUUGACUGAUAGCCCAAGAAAUUCAGGUGUAGUUUUAGGUGCCCUCCCCAUUUGCUGGUAUGCCCCAAUCUUUUAAACAGAAAGAGAGUAGAUUUAGUGUUAAGUUCUCGUUUAAUAAUUUGGCACAGGCAAAGAAAUGGAAAAGUAAUUCUAAGUCUGCGAUGUGUCUCACUGCAUUUUCAAGUGCCAAUGAAAAUUUUAGCCAUGCCUCUUUUUAAUGAGAGUAUUAAUGAAAACAGUUUGAGUGCAUCUUCAACAAGUUCUUUGAAAUAGGAACGUGCCUCUGAUGUGCAUAUUCUUAGAGGAUCUUGAAACUUAUCUUGCCGUAAAUAUCAAAGUUCUCUAAUGAGACUUUGAAGAGGUAGGAGAUGAUGAUAAACUGUGAAUGAGUUGGCAGUUUCAGAAACAGGAAAAUGUAAAACUCUAAGGUACAAUUGCUAGUUACUCAUAAUGGCCAUCUCAUUUCCUUUCUGGUACUUGCAGAAGUCAGUUGGUCCCUUUUCUACAUGAACUAACGUAAAAAAAUAUCAACAUCAAAUGAAUUAAGAUUGUUAUUUUAUAAACCAUAUGGUCAAGUAGAAUCUGAAAAUAAAGGCUGAUGAUUAAAUCACUUAAUGAGGGUCUGUACAGGAGGCUGUGUGUUAUUUGACAGGAAAUCAGACUAGAUAAUCAAAAUAAUACUUCUGGCCUCAAAAUACACAAAUCUGUCCAUUUAAUAUUUUUUUUACCAUGUUUGAUGAAGUAACUGGUGGUUGCUUUGAACUCUCAAACUGAGAAUAGAUCUUAGUCAUGUUUUAAAUUGAAUGGAAAUAGCUCUUUUAUAUAUCUUAGUACAAUGACAAAACUAGUUUUCUUCAUUUAAGAGCAAAUAGGCUCUUAUCUGUUUAGUUCAAAGAUAGGGUUUUUUUUUUUUUUAAUUUCGCAAAGCAACAAUUACAAUCCUUUUCUUCUAUAAGUGAAAAGCAGUGCUGUGAAUAUGACAUAAAACUUUUCUCUUUCUUUCCCUUCAUAAGAGUGUGCAUAGUUAUACAGAUCAAACAGGAUCUAAGAAUAAAGAUGACUUUUUUAUGGCAUUUCCAGAUGAAUACUUACAUAUACCCGUUUAAGACAUUUUUUUUCAUUACCACCAAACUACUUGUCCAAGAUCACAGUCAUGAACAAGAUCACAAGACUUCAGCUACCAUUUAAUUCAUUCAUUUUCCUUCUGGGACUUCAUCCAGUUUGCCUUAAAUAAUGCUACUCAGGAAUUGGCCUGCUUCGUCUAUACAUAUGAAUCAAAUGGGAACUGGAGUGGUAUGUCUGUGAUCUUGCAAUAGUAUCUUAACGGUGGUGACUAAAAGAAGAAAAAGAAAAUCAGAAGACAGCAAAGGUACUGCGUUUCUUAAAUAUUUAUUUGAACCCUUAUCUAAAAUAUGAUUUUUCAGAGCAUAAAUGUCCUUGAAGCACGUUUGAUCUUAGAUAUUUUAUUGUUCUGGAUGCUAACCCUGACACAUAAUAUUGUCCUUUAAAAAACAGACUCUUCUCGGAAAAUAUUGUCUUGCAUUUAAUUUAAAGUUAUAUAUGUCUGUUAGGUUACUAGAAUGUUAGCUCUGUUUAAGUCUUUGAACAGAAUCUUGAACACUGAAAUAUGUGAUAAAUUCUUUCUUUACAAUUUGUCCUAAAAAAUAUCUAUAGAUUUCAGCAAGCUUAGCCAAGAAUUAUUGUUGAGAAAUACUGUUGUUGUAGAAUUGCUCAGCCCCGUCUUUUUAGGGUAGGAAUACAUAUCUGAAACAAAAAUUAUUAAAUUUACAUUCCAUUUUUCUAGCUCUUUUCAUUUGGGUUAGAGUCCAAAUAGCUUCAAAAAUGUUUCUAAUGAGAUUUUGAAUUUCUUGUAACAGUGCCACUGGGAACUCCACUGUCUGAGAAUUUGCUGGAAUAUAGCUCUUUCUUGAUUUCAAAUAAUUCUUUAGAAACAUUAAGGAUCUCAAAUUUCAGUUCAAGUAGUAACAUUCUCAAAUAUGACUGUAAAACUGAAAUUUUAUUUUAUCUGACUGUGGUAGCAUGUAGUUGUAAAGUAAACCUUUUGCAAUAAUCAGAAUUUAAUACCAUGUGAUUAGGAAUUUAAUCAGACCAAAUUGUAUUUAAUAUCAAUAGUAUAUUUUAUGCUCCAACUUAAAGAUGUAAUGGGCUGAUAUCAAGUUUAAUAGUACUGUUGCCAUGAAGCUAAUAUUGACAGAAACCAGUGUCUCUGUUAAGCUUUGAAAGCAGUAUUUACUAUUACUUGUAAAAUGACUGCAAACAUAACUACCUGAAAUACAGUUCAAUGCAUUUGGAAUUUGUGUUAAACUUUAACUUAACUUUACUUGUGUAAAAUUUAACAUGCAUGGUUAGGUAUUAGACCUCUUGCAGUACUUCCAGAAUUGCCACGGUUUCUUUUGAAUUUCCAGCUACUACUUGUUGUCCUUUGUUUUGUUGCAUUUAUAAUUACUCAGGAGUAUUUAGAUGUAUGUUUCGAUAUCCCAUUUAAAGAGGAAUUUCUAAUGAUUGUAAAUAUGACAAUACCUUGGGUAGAGAGUUUGUGUAUGACUGCAGGAAUUUAGUUGAAGAAUAGGUGGGAGUUGGUGGAAGCCCAAAGGGAUGAAAAGAGAGACAGAGUGGCUGUGUCCCCUUGCAUAUUGCAUCUUCCACUAAAUUUCUGGGUGUAUUGAAGUUUUCCUUGCUACAACUGAAAACUUGGUUCUGAUGCUGCUGAAAUAUUUUCUUAUAGCCAGAUAAAGAAUGAGGAAAAUUAUAUUAUUCAAAUUUAUCAAAUUGAAAAUAUCCUCACUUUGUCAUGCUGGUUUGUUUGUUUGUUUGUUUGUUUGUUUUCAUCAUCAUCAGUUAUCAAAUCCAGAGUGAAGCAUGUUGCUUUUUGAGCAGACCUCAGGUUAGCUCUGUGGUCCUGCAUGCUUGUGAUAUUUCUCCCCCCCAGCUCUGGCUUUUCUAUCAUUCUGGUAACCAAGUGCUUAAAAUUGCAUGGGAGAGACAUAUGGAAAUAACUUUUCUUUGCUCUAGCUUUGACACAGUGAGUAACUCAGGUCUCAGUCAGUACAACUGCAUUAAAUUGUAUGUAUAUGUAUGCAUUCAGAGCAGUUAAUUCUGUGCUUAGUGACUAUGAAGUCUGACUGCAAAUUACAGAAGUUUUUCAAUUUGAACUCAACUCCAGCUUAUACUUUUGUAAUUCCUUUUGGGCCUGCGUGGUUAGCCAGUAGUGAGGUGUUUACUAGGAUGAUCAGAAAAUACACUACUUAUUUACUACUGUACCUUUCAGUUACAUCAAAUGUCAUAAAAGAUUUUAUUUUCUGAAGGAUCAGAGCAAGAAAAUGUGAUUUCUCCCAUGUCACUUUCUAGAUGUUUUUUCCCCCAGAUUACUGUUCUUUAUAUUUUUUUCCAGAUGGAAAAGACAUACUCAAACAUUAUUCACACAUGGCUUUUUUGGGAAUUUAUGUGGUUGCUGUUUCGUCACGUGUAAAGUGAGCUUCGCCUCUCCUGGCGAUGAUGACCUCUUUUGCAACAACCAGAAAGAGACACUGGAACAAGUCUUCUUUUGAGGGGUGUUUGCAGUGAAUGGCUUCCUGUCCUUCAGCAGUGUGCAUUGCAUUGGGUGCAGAGUUCAUUUAUGCUGUGUCCGCUUUGAGUGACCUCAUACUCAAUGAUGUUCUGUGCUAGAAGAAACUUCCUCAGGUCUUAUAAAUGGCAUCUGCAUUUACUCAAAAAGAAACACUGCUUCAGAAUUUCAUACACAGAUAAUGUACUCAAAAAUCUUCACCAUAGACAAACAGGACCCAAACUCCUGAGGUGUUGAACAUUUCUGAUGAGGAAUCGGGUACUGUGACUGCAAAGUGUACUCCAAACCAGCUGAGACAAUAUUCGAUGCAGUAUGCUAAGUGUGGAAUACUCUGUGCAGAAGGAAAUGCCUUACCUUUUCCUUGAGUACUUGGCCUUGGAUUUAAGAAGAACAGCACAAAAAAGGAAACCCUUGAAAAGUGCUGCAAUUCCAGCUUUUUUUCUAACUCUGCCAGCAUAUUGCAAGAAGGAAGAAGUGGAAUAUCAGGAGCUCAGACUCAGUGCAGAGAACAGUGGCUCAGAUCCUUGCAGGCAUCUGACACGUAGGUAUCAUGGAUUUCACUAAGAGCUUGGUCUAUCUUCAUUUGAACAAGAAAGCCUUUACUACUUAAGCCUUAUGAAUAUUUACUUUAAAGAUAUGGGUUUUUUCCUGUUUAUUAUGUGUGAUGAAGCAAAUUAGAGAUCUAGGAAUCUGACAGGUACUCAAGAUUUGAAUACUUUUUCAACAAAUAAAAUGAGGAAGAUUCACAAGCUUUCUUGUGCUGCAGCUAUAUGUAUGUACGUGUAACCAGUUACUGAGAUUGACAUAAAUACCUGGUAUGGCUGUGGUGAUGAAAACAGUAAAGAUUGGCAAUAAGUCACGAUUCCCUUUUAGAAGUAAGAUAAAUUCUACAUAACAUUCAAGCACAUCUGUCACCCCAACUAAUGAAAGCUGAUUUAAGUCAUUUAAUAGAAGCUGGAAUCCUUGAUAAUGACACUACUACUUUUCUUCCCAAGAUAAUUAUUAGCUGACCAAGAUGUUUCUUGGAUGUGAUGGUCUGCUGAAGAUAUAAACACUCAAACAUUUCUGCAAAUCAUCAAUACUUUAUUAUGCAGCUUCUGCAGUACUCACCCACUGAUGUUGCCAGGAACACUCAUAUCAAAUUAUUUACAAUAGUAAUGAAAACGGUACCACCAGAGACUUUGUGGAUGGCUCUCCCUGCAAUGUGUGACUCUUGAUUGGUGUUUCCAGAAAGCUAAAUUCAGUGCAGCUCUCUCAACUGCAUUCUGGCCUCUUGUGGAUUUUUCUUCUUGUCAGCUUUAAGUAGCAUUUUCAACAAUGAACUUCUGUUCUUCAGCUUAUCACUAGCCUUGAACUUACGAAUUUAGUUUCUGAAGGCAAAGCUUAGUGUGUUAGCCACAAUGACUCUGUUAAUUUAAAUGAUAUUAUGUUCAGGUACAGCUCUGUUUGCAGAAAGAAUAAGGGUGUGUAAUAGAGAUGGCAGUGAGAAAUCGAGGAAGAUGGCAAGACAAGUGCUGAUUUCUAAGCAAUGUUGUCUAUAGUGAUAGGUAAAUGCAGUUUUAUUUUCAAGUAGUGCAAUUUAAACAGAAAAUUUAAGAAAAACAACCCUCUCUGACCAUGAAGACAUGGAUGGUAACCCCUCUUUGACUUCAGUGCACUCUGUCCAUGAUUUGGUUUUAUGAGUUUUUCUCUCAUAAGGUGAUAACUCUGUGAGUAAGAAAUAGCGCCAACUGUUAGGAUUUUUCCUAGCAGGGAGAUAAAUGUGUAUAAUGGCAUGUCUUGCAUUGUGGUCUGUUACUGAUGGUUUCAUUGGAAAUUUUUAUUGGAAAAAUGAUGUAGGGGAAAUAAAACUCCAGCAAACAGCUUGCCUAAUGCUUUCACUGUAAAGAAUAAAGAGAAGAAGUCUUUAACUGGUAAAAAUGUUUCUGAGCUCUCACAAAGUAUGUUUUGUUUGUAAUCUUAGGGUCUAGAAAGGCCAGAUCUUUAAGCCUGGUACUUAACGCCCCCACCCCCCCAAAAAUUGCCUUUCAGUCAAGGAUAGAUUUUUUUUU
This is a long non-coding RNA of Gallus gallus (chicken), 6387 nucleotides long. The record is from Ensembl. Lineage: Eukaryota; Metazoa; Chordata; Aves; Galliformes; Phasianidae.